GCGGCUAUGAUGGGAAUUGGCAUACCUGGUGAACUUAAAAUUCACUGAUUCUCAGUUCGAAUCUGAGUGGCCGUACCA
RNAcentral lists this transfer RNA (78 nucleotides) under hydrothermal vent metagenome. RNAcentral describes it as "tRNA-Pseudo-TAA". It matches the Rfam family "tRNA". From Rfam's summary of the family: Transfer RNA (tRNA) molecules are approximately 80 nucleotides in length. Their secondary structure includes four short double-helical elements and three loops (D, anti-codon, and T loops). Further hydrogen bonds mediate the characteristic L-shaped molecular structure. tRNAs have two regions of fundamental functional importance: the anti-codon, which is responsible for specific mRNA codon recognition, and the 3' end, to which the tRNAs corresponding amino acid is attached (by aminoacyl-tRNA synthetases). tRNAs cope with the degeneracy of the genetic code in two manners: having more than one tRNA (with a specific anti-codon) for a particular amino acid; and 'wobble' base-pairing, i.e. permitting non-standard base-pairing at the 3rd anti-codon position. The record is from RNAcentral.